CCCUUAGAUGUUCUGGGCCGCACGCGUGCUACACUGAGUGGAUCAGCGGGUCAGGUUGCGCGAAAGCGUUUCCUAAUCUUUAAAUCCGCUCGUGAUGGGGAUUGACGGUUGCAAUUUCUGUCAUGAACGAGGAAUACCUUGUAAGCGCGGGUCAUCAUCCCGCGCUGAAUACGUCCCUGCCCUUUGUACACACCGCCCGUCGCUCCUACCGAUUGAGUGGUCCGGUGAGGCUUUGGGAUCUGAGCGGAAAGAGCGUUUCGCUGUUUCUGCUCGGAAAACUCAGUCGAACCUUAUCAUUUAGAGGAAGGAGAAGUCGUAACA
RNAcentral lists this ribosomal RNA (321 nucleotides) under uncultured eukaryote. RNAcentral's name for it is "partial 18S ribosomal RNA". It matches the Rfam family "Eukaryotic small subunit ribosomal RNA", at positions 1470 to 1796 of the family's 1831-position model. The record is from RNAcentral.